UGCUUAUCUUACUUGCCAAUUAGUGGGGGAUAACUCUGGGAAACCAGGGCUAAUACCGCAUUUUUUACUUCGGUAAUGAAAGGAAAUCGCAAGAUUUUCGCUAAUUGAUAGGGAUAAGUCGUAUUAGUUAGUUGGUGGGGUAAUGGCCUACCAAGACAAUGAUGCGUAGCCGGGCUGAGAGGCUGACCGGCCACAAGGGAACUGAGACACGGUCCCUACUCCUACGGGAGGCAGCAGUGAGGAAUUUUCGGCAAUGGGGGAAACCCUGACCGAGCAAUACUACGUGAAGGAGGAAGGUCUACGGAUUGUAAACUUCUGUUAGUGCGGAAGAAGGGCUGAACGUAAGUUCAGUCUUGACGGUACGCACAGAGAAAGCCACGACUAACUACGUGCCAGCAGUCGCGGUAAGACGUAGGUGGCGAACGUUAUCCGGAAUUAUUGGGCGUAAAGGGUGCGUAGACGGCGAAAUAAGUUAGUGGUGGAAAACGGGGCUCAACCUCGUGGAAGUCAUUAAUACUGUUUUGCUAGAGGGCAGAAGAGGUUAACGGAACUCCCUGUGGAGCGGUAAAAUGUGUAGAUAUAGGGAAGAACACCGAUAAGGCGAAGGCAGUUAACUAUUCUGUUCCUGACGUUGAGGCACGAAAGCGUGGGGAGCAAACCGGAUUAGAUACCCGGGUAGUCCACGCCCUAAACGAUGAGUGCUAGAUAUUGGAAACUUGAUUUUCAGUGUCGCUAGAUAACUCGGUAAGCACUCCGCCUGGGUAGUACGCUCGCAAGAGUGAAACUCAAAGGAAUUGACGGGGACUCGCACAAGCACUGGAGCAUGUGGUUUAAUCCGAUGCAACGCGUAGAACCUUACCAAGGCUUGACAUGUUUGGCAAAACUCGGGAAACCGAGCGGAGGUUAUCCAAACACAGGUGCUGCAUGGCCGUCGUCAGUUCGUGCCGUGAGGUGUAUGGUUAAGUCCUAUAACGAACGCAACCCUUGGGCUUAGUUGCCAGCAUUCAGUUGGGGACUCUAAGCCGACUGCCUGAGUAAUCAGGAGGAAGGAAAGGAUGACGUUUGGUCGUCAUCUGC
Molecule: ribosomal RNA, 1077 nt
Filed under: Candidatus Moeniiplasma glomeromycotorum
Lineage: Bacteria; Bacillati; Mycoplasmatota; Mollicutes; Mycoplasmatales; Mycoplasmataceae
Description: bacterial SSU rRNA
Rfam family: Bacterial small subunit ribosomal RNA
Source: RNAcentral